GACGAACGCUGGCGGCGUGCUUAACACAUGCAAGUCGAGCGGUAAGGCCCUUUCGGGGGUACACGAGCGGCGAACGGGUGAGUAACACGUGGGUGACCUGCCCUCAGCUUCUGGGAUAAGCCCGGGAAACCGGGUCUAAUACCGGAUAUGACUCCAUGACGCAUGUUGUGGGGUGGAAAGCCUUGUGCGGCUGAGGAUGGGCCCGCGGCCUAUCAGCUUGGUUGGUGGGGUGAUGG
This 236-nucleotide ribosomal RNA is filed under the name uncultured bacterium. Its description in RNAcentral is "partial 16S ribosomal RNA". It matches the Rfam family "Bacterial small subunit ribosomal RNA", at positions 28 to 263 of the family's 1533-position model. The record is from RNAcentral.